RNAcentral lists this ribosomal RNA (588 nucleotides) under uncultured bacterium. RNAcentral's name for it is "bacterial SSU rRNA". It matches the Rfam family "Bacterial small subunit ribosomal RNA", at positions 338 to 944 of the family's 1533-position model. The record is from RNAcentral.
CCUACGGGAGGCAGCAGUGGGGAAUAUUGCACAAUGGGCGGAAGCCUGAUGCAGCGACGCCGCGUGAGGGAUGAAGGCCUUCGGGUUGUAAACCUCUUUCAGCAGGGACGAAGCGUGAGUGACGGUACCUGCAGAAGAAGCACCGGCUAACUACGUGCCAGCAGCCGCGGUAAUACGUAGGGUGCGAGCGUUGUCCGGAAUUACUGGGCGUAAAGAGUUCGUAGGCGGUUUGUCGCGUCGUUUGUGAAAACCCGGGGCUCAACUUCGGGCUUGCAGGCGAUACGGGCAGACUUGAGUGUUUCAGGGGAGACUGGAAUUCCUGGUGUAGCGGUGAAAUGCGCAGAUAUCAGGAGGAACACCGGUGGCGAAGGCGGGUCUCUGGGAAACAACUGACGCUGAGGAACGAAAGCGUGGGUAGCAAACAGGAUUAGAUACCCUGGUAGUCCACGCCGUAAACGGUGGGCGCUAGGUGUGGGUUCCUUCACGGGAUCUGUGCCGUAGCUAACGCAUUAAGCGCCCCGCCUGGGGAGUACGCGCAGACAACUACAAGAAUAGACGCGNGAGACGNGCGAGCGACGACGAGGAGAG